GACGAACGCUGGCGGCGUGCCUAAUACAUGCAAGUUGAGCGAUGAAGAUUGGUGCUUGCACCAAUUUGAAGAGCAGCGAACGGGUGAGUAACGCGUGGGGAAUCUGCCUUUGAGCGGGGGACAACAUUUGGAAACGAAUGCUAAUACCGCAUAACAACUUUAAACAUAAGUUUUAAGUUUGAAAGAUGCAAUUGCAUCACUCAAAGAUGAUCCCGCGUUGUAUUAGCUAGUUGGUGAGGUAAAGGCUCACCAAGGCGAUGAUACAUAGCCGACCUGAGAGGGUGAGCGGCCACAUUGGGACUGAGACAGGGCCCAAACUCCUACGGGAGGCAGCAGUAGGGAAUCUUCGGCAAUGGACGAAAGUCUGACCGAGAAACGCCGCGGGAGUGAAGAAGGUUUUCGGAUCGUAAAACUCUGUUGGUAGAGAAGAACGUUGGUGAGAGUGGAAAGCUCAUCAAGUGACGGUAACUACCCAGAAAGGGACGGCUAACUACGUG
RNAcentral lists this ribosomal RNA (497 nucleotides) under uncultured bacterium. Its description in RNAcentral is "partial 16S ribosomal RNA". It matches the Rfam family "Bacterial small subunit ribosomal RNA", at positions 28 to 507 of the family's 1533-position model. The record is from RNAcentral.